GACGAACCGUGCGAACGUUAUUCGGAAUCACUGGGCUUAAAGCGCGUGUAGGCGGAUGGGAACGUCGGUAGUUGAAAGCCCCCGGCUCAACCGGGGAAGUGGUGCCGAAACGACCCGUCUGGAGGGACGUAGGGGGACCUGGAACUUCCGGUGGAGCGGUGAAAUGCGUUGAGAUGCGGAGGAACACCGAUGGCGAAGGCAGCCCCCUGGGCUAACACUGACGCUCAGGCACGAAAGCGUGGGGAGCAAACAGG
Molecule: ribosomal RNA, 254 nt
Filed under: uncultured bacterium
Lineage: Bacteria
Description: partial 16S ribosomal RNA
Rfam family: Bacterial small subunit ribosomal RNA
Source: RNAcentral